This 432-nucleotide ribosomal RNA is filed under the name uncultured bacterium. RNAcentral describes it as "bacterial SSU rRNA". It matches the Rfam family "Bacterial small subunit ribosomal RNA", at positions 340 to 786 of the family's 1533-position model. The record is from RNAcentral.
UACGGGAGGCAGCAGUGGGGAAUAUUGGACAAUGGGCGAAAGCCUGAUCCAGCCAUGCCGCAUGAGUGAAGAAGGCCUUCGGGUUGUAAAGCUCUUUUAGUGAGAAAGAUAAUGACGGUACUCACAGAAGAGGUCCUGGCUAACUCCGUGCCAGCAGCCGCGGUAAUACGGAGAGGGCUAGCGUUAUUCGGAAUUAUUGGGCGUAAAGAGCGCGUAGGCUGAUUAGUAAGUUAAAAGUGAAAUCCCAAAGCUUAACUUUGGAAUUGCUUUUUAAAACUGCUAGUCUAGAGAUUGAAAGAGGAUAGAGGAAUUCCUAGUGUAGAGGUGAAAUUCGUAAAUAUUAGGAGGAACACCAGUGGCGAAGGCGUCUAUCUGGUUCAAAUCUGACGCUGAGGCGCGAAGGGCGUGGGGAGCAAACAGGGAUUAGAUACC